GUACAAAGGGCUGCAAGACCGCGAGGUUUAGCCAAUCCCAUAAAACCAUUCUCAGUUCGGAUUGUAGGCUGCAACUCGCCUACAUGAAGCCGGAAUCGCUAGUAAUCGCGGAUCAGCAUGCCGCGGUGAAUACGUUCCCGGGCCUUGUACACACCGCCCGUCACACCACGAGAGUUUGUAACACCCGAAGUCGGUGGGGUAACC
This 204-nucleotide ribosomal RNA is filed under the name Bacillus sp. 7884-1. RNAcentral describes it as "Bacterial small subunit ribosomal RNA". It matches the Rfam family "Bacterial small subunit ribosomal RNA", at positions 1237 to 1440 of the family's 1533-position model. The record is from Rfam by way of RNAcentral. Lineage: Bacteria; Bacillati; Bacillota; Bacilli; Caryophanales; Bacillaceae.